CCCGUGUCACCUUCAUUUCAAGUAGCUGUAGUUUCCUCCGCAAUGCCCUGCUUUCAUUCUGGCUUUGAGUUAUUUCCAAACGAAACACUGCAUAGUCGUCGUCUACGAGUUUACAGAUGUCUGCCACGGCUGCAUUCGCUAGCACCUCCAUGACGGAGACUAUUUGAGUGUGAAAAACCAUAGGCCUACAGCUAGCCAUUGUUGUUAGCAGCUAGCUAGCGUUACCUUGAUAACAUCUAUUAACCAAGUCCUGUCUCCAACGCGAAUUAAACACUGCCCGGGUCUGCAGUCCAUGAAGACCUGCUCGUAUCUGAUGUUGUUGGUGGGAGAGACUGGACCUCUGAAGUGGCUGGUCACAAACCCUGGUCCCGGAUCUGGACACUGGAUCAGGAGCCGUCACUCGUCCUACCUGAGUCGGAACCGGCACUGAGCCGCUAGGGACAGAGACUCCACCACCACACAGAUCACCACCAGUGGACAGGUGGACUGAACAACCUCAGUCUUGGUGGUCAUCAGAGAGACAGAGGCUCCAGUCAGGGAUCCAGUCUGCAGCCCAGACCCUUCUCUUUACAGUCUCAGUGCAGGGAUGAAGCAGGGCCUGAGGCUGAUAGCGAUAGACCCUCCUGUUCCUAUGAUAAAAACACCACAGUAUCCAUGAUUAACAGAGCAGGUCACCCUGGGCUUCAGCCUUCACAGAGAGUGGUGGGAGACCUCUCUGGUGGUAGUGUAUCAGGAAGUCUGUCUUCUCCUUCAGGGUCUCAUCUAAUGCCUCGUAACUGGGUUCAUAGAAGGGCCUGGACCUGGGUCUAGCCUUCCUCAAUUACAGUAGCUCAUGGUUACCCCACCAAUACAGACAGUGCCAGGAUGGGCUUUCACCACAAGAUGUACAGUGCAUUCGUAAAGUAUUCAGAUUCCCUCCCAAUUUCCAACUUUUUAUGUUGCAUCCUUAUUCUAAAAUGGAUACAAUUUAAAAUUGUACUUAUCAAUCUACACACAAUACCCCAUAAUGUCAAAGUGAAAACAGGGUUUUAGACAUUUUUACACAUUUAUAAAAAAACAAACACAAAUAGCUUAUUUACAUAGGUCUGUAUCCAUUUUCGAAUAAGGCUAUAAUGUAACAAAAUGUGGAAAAAGUUAAGGGGUCUGAAUACUUUCCGAAUGCAGUGUAUCUAGCCUAUAGCACAGCUCACAAUCCCAAUAACACCCAAACAAGAGGUCAAGGAGGGAGCUCAAAGACUAAUGCUGCGUUCGUAACACCGCAUAGGUGCAGUGAAAUGUUUUUGUUUUAUAGGGUCAGCCAUAGUAGAAUGGCACCCCCUGGAUCAAAUUAGGGUUAAGUGCCUUGCUCAAGGGCACAGGCCGAUUUUUCACCUUGUCGUCUCUGGUAUUCGAGCCGACCUUUCGGGUACUGCCCAACGCUCUAAUCGCUAGGCUACCCGCCGCUCUUACUAGUUGUGAAGUCGUUAAUACCAGUUGGAUACAUUCACGUGCUUUGAACUCAUUGAUAAACACUCAUUGGCUAAUGGACAACAAUCUGCAUCAACCAUAAACAAAAAGUACAGCUAUCAUGCUUGGACACAAAUUAUAGAAACAGGCUUUUGUGAACACCUGUUUUUAGAGAGACCGUAAACCUAGCUGUAGAAAAGGCCCAUGGAGUUGGUGGAAUAAUCCUUUCAUUCAUUGCCACUUACUCAGCUGGGCCAGGGGCGCUUUAAUUAGGUCAGGUGAAAAUGUCCGACAGAUCUCCACUCCAUAAAAGGAGGAAAUCGCCAUCUCCUGAUCGCGCUGCUUUCUCUUCCUUCACUCCUUUCAAUCCAGAAGUUCUGUGCGUCCAUGAAUCCACGUAAAUCCACCGAAUCUGUUACCUUUCAUCUGAACUAUCUGUUGCAAUCGGGAGAGUGGGCCAUCAGUUGUUUAGCGUUACUACCGCGGAGCGCGACUUGGAGCGCACGCUUCAAACAUAUUGUAUAAUGUGAAUGGUCAAUGAUCACGGCCCUACGGAUCAUAAUAGGCUAAUUAUGCAAUCGAUAUGGUUAAUAUGUAAUGAAAUUACAUGUACACAUGAAGACACUUGAAAGGGUGAAAUAAGUCAUUGUUUGCUGAACUGAUCGACUCUGAUAUCCAACUAAUGGCGAUUAUAGAUUGAAUAACCGAUCACUGUUUAUUAUUCUUUCAUGAUUUAUGCUAAAUAGUUACGAGCCUAAAUUACUCACGGAUGAUUCCUAUUGACUUAUUAAUGAACUGGAUUGUUGAAUUCCCUAAAUUAUGUUGAUAAUGAAUGAUUGUUAUGAUUUGAUCUUUGUGAUUAUGAAUUUGAUUGGAUACAUGUUAUUCCGUUUCCUUUGUUAUGCAGCACAGACUACUCAGUAAAUAUACCACUUUAUGGUUAAAGGAA
This is a long non-coding RNA of Salmo salar (Atlantic salmon), 2395 nucleotides long. RefSeq lists it as uncharacterized. The record is from RefSeq and is a predicted model, not a curated record. Lineage: Eukaryota; Metazoa; Chordata; Actinopteri; Salmoniformes; Salmonidae.